This 357-nucleotide transfer-messenger RNA is filed under the name Deinococcus koreensis. Its description in RNAcentral is "Standard tmRNA". It matches the Rfam family "transfer-messenger RNA". From Rfam's summary of the family: Bacterial tmRNA, also known as 10Sa RNA or SsrA, is named for its dual tRNA and mRNA-like properties. Its role is to liberate the mRNA from a stalled ribosome. To accomplish this part of the tmRNA is used as a reading frame that ends in a translation stop signal. The record is from Rfam by way of RNAcentral. Lineage: Bacteria; Thermotogati; Deinococcota; Deinococci; Deinococcales; Deinococcaceae.
GGGGACGCCCCGGUUUCGACGGUGUUCGUAGAAGGUGAAGCAGCGAGCCGAGGACGGUCGUUGGCCUCGUAAAUCAACCGACCAAGCCUUUAACUGGCAACAACAGCGAUUCUUUCGCACUGGCUGCUUAAUCCCAGCCCAGCGAUCGUAAAGCCCGGCCAUUGGCGCUACGCGAGCUGACACAAAAGAUGGCUAGCAGAAGAGGGUGCUUCGACCUCUAACGCGAAAUUUAGGAGCUGGAUUCAAAAGUAGCCUGUCCUUAGGCGACUGAGAGUCGAGAUUUAAAUUAAGGACUACGCUCGUAGACGCCCACCCAAGCAACAUCGGACGAGGGUUCGACUCCCUCCGUCUCCACCA